This 439-nucleotide ribosomal RNA is filed under the name uncultured bacterium. RNAcentral describes it as "bacterial SSU rRNA". It matches the Rfam family "Bacterial small subunit ribosomal RNA", at positions 954 to 1392 of the family's 1533-position model. The record is from RNAcentral.
GCAAAACGCGAAGAACCUUACCUGGCCUUGACAUACAGAGAACUUUCCAGAGAUGGAUUGGUGCCUUCGGGAACUCUGAUACAGGUGCUGCAUGGCUGUCGUCAGCUCGUGUCGUGAGAUGUUGGGUUAAGUCCCGCAACGAGCGCUAACCCUUUUCCUUAUUUGCCAGCACUUCGGGUGGGAACUUUAAGGAUACUGCCAGUGACAAACUGGAGGAAGGCGGGGACGACGUCAAGUCAUCAUGGCCCUUACGGCCAGGGCUACACACGUGCUACAAUGGUCGGUACAAAGGGUUGCUACUGCGCGAGCAGAUGCUAAUCUCAAAAAGCCGAUCGUAGUCCGGAUCGCAGUCUGCAACUCGACUGCGUGAAGUCGGAAUCGCUAGUAAUCGCGGAUCAGAAUGCCGCGGUGAAUACGUUCCCGGGUCUUGUACACACCG